This 493-nucleotide ribosomal RNA is filed under the name uncultured bacterium. RNAcentral describes it as "bacterial SSU rRNA". It matches the Rfam family "Bacterial small subunit ribosomal RNA", at positions 15 to 507 of the family's 1533-position model. The record is from RNAcentral.
GAUCAUGGCUCAGAUUGAACGCUGGCGGAAUGCUUUACACAUGCAAGUCGAACGGUAGAGGGGGCAACCCCUUGAGAGUGGCGAACGGGUGAGUAAUAUAUCGGAACGUGCCCAGUCGUGGGGGAUAACGUAGCGAAAGUUACGCUAAUACCGCAUACGAUCUAAGGAUGAAAGCGGGGGAUCGCAAGACCUCGCGCGAUUGGAGCGGCCGAUAUCAGAUUAGGUAGUUGGUGAGGUAAAGGCUCACCAAGCCAACGAUCUGUAGCUGGUCUGAGAGGACGACCAGCCACACUGGAACUGAGACACGGUCCAGACUCCUACGGGAGGCAGCAGUGGGGAAUUUUGGACAAUGGACGCAAGUCUGAUCCAGCCAUUCCGCGUGCAGGAUGAAGGCCCUCGGGUUGUAAACUGCUUUUGUACGGAACGAAAAGGUUUCUAUUAAUACUAGGAGCUCAUGACGGUACCGUAAGAAUAAGCACCGGCUAACUACGUG